Molecule: long non-coding RNA, 471 nt
Filed under: Lathyrus oleraceus (garden pea)
Lineage: Eukaryota; Viridiplantae; Streptophyta; Magnoliopsida; Fabales; Fabaceae
Description: Pisum sativum (pea) long non-coding RNA (PSAT_LNC029627)
Source: RNAcentral
ACACUUUCAAACCGAAAUUCAACAUUAAUAUUUCAAUCACUAUAGACACAAGUUAUAAACUUCAGCAUUUCAAAAAGUGAAAAGAUCUUGCCAAGCUUUGGACAUAGCAGUUAGCAUUUGGACAUAGCAGUUAGCAGUUAGCAGCAACAGAUUAUAUAUACAUUCAAGUUGAAGAUAUAGACACAAAUUACAAUCUAUGCACAGCCGCGGUUUAUUCGCAUAACCAUUCGCAAGUAUCAAAACCAAACAUAAAAAUCCAUACAACACAUCAAAAUAUGAUUAUCGUAUCAACCCAACAUUAAAGGACUUAUUUAAAAGCAAUCCAACACUUUCUAACCAGCAAUACAUUGACUCUUUACAGAACGGACUACCGAGUUUGAACCUUGAUUCAGGGCCUAACAUGUAUAAUGGAAUCUGAGCUCAAAUUAUUAUUAUUAUUGUAUUUUUCCAGAAUAUUCAUCAACAAGAAUU